CUGGUGUCUUCAUCAGAAGUGAUCUGAUGUUAAAACUUAAGUCCUUACAUACUCCAGUCUACUAUCUUCAUCAAGAGGGAUCUGUUGUUAAAACUUGAGUCAAUACUCCAGUCUAGAGUCUUCGUCAGGAAUGAUCUAAUGUUGAAAAUAGAGCUCUUAUAUACUCCAGUCUAGUGUCUUCAUCAGGAAUGAUCGGAUUUUGAAACAUGAGUUCUUAUAUACUCCAGCCUUGUGUUUUCAUCGCAAUUAAUGUUGAAGCCUGCAACAUUAUUACUACAUUCUGUGUAGUAUCAGGAUUGAUUUCAUAUUAUGUGCUGAACCUAUUUGUUCUCGAAACUACGUUUUUAUGAAGUUGCAUGAUGAAAUUUUAACGUUAUAUAAGUCUUUCGUAUGAGCUCCGAGCGUGAGUUCAAUGCACUAGAACGCUAUUAAAUUUUUGUGAUUAUUUUAUUCACUAGCGAAGAAGUUACUUACAACAGUCGUGAGCUUAAAUUAUGUGUUUAAGUGAAACUAGGAUAGGCUAAUUUCUUUGAUGGCAGUACAUUAUUCUCGACAGAAUAUUAUACAUACGUUAUGUACGUCACUACAAAAUAAUCUAUCCUCAUUGUUUUGAUUGUUUAUUACUUAUGCUGUGGUAAGCUCGAAUGCCACUUUCAUGUGCCAUAUACACACCACAGUUUGACGAUAUAUGCAAAUUUUUACCAGAUACGGUCGGAAGAGAUUAAACACCCCCCUGUUCUGAACUUUACAACUAUACAAAUCAGAAAACUAUUCCAUCUAAAUCAUCUGCUUCAUCAUCUGCUGAUGCUCCUCGGUCCAUUAAAUGGUGUGGAAGGGAGCGCCGUCUACUCGCUGUCGCGUGAUCUUGUGGGUAAAGUAAAAAGAUGCAAGCUCAUUUCGCCAGUGUUGUUUAGAUAGAAAUUGAUUAAAAACUUUUCUAUUAGAAGGUGACGUUUGAUAAAGGUAUUUAUCUUCCUGCAAGUACAUGCAUUUUUCCAGAAAAAACUGAGCUUUAUGCUUCGACUUAGGUUUUUUCAUUCAAUAGCCCUUUUCCCAUGCGUUUGUACAUCGGGACUUUUUGUUGUGAAUAGGAAUAAAUAAUUCUGUUAAUUAAACAAUAUUGUUUGUUUUGCAUA
This is a long non-coding RNA of Xenia sp. Carnegie-2017, 1136 nucleotides long. RefSeq lists it as uncharacterized. The record is from RefSeq and is a predicted model, not a curated record. The transcript is spliced from 2 exons. Lineage: Eukaryota; Metazoa; Cnidaria; Anthozoa; Malacalcyonacea; Xeniidae.